UCCACGUUAGCUCAGCUGGUAAAGAAUCUGCCUGCAAUGCAAGAGACCCUGGUUCGAUUCCUGGGUCUGGAA
This 72-nucleotide transfer RNA is filed under the name Bos taurus (domestic cattle). It matches the Rfam family "tRNA". From Rfam's summary of the family: Transfer RNA (tRNA) molecules are approximately 80 nucleotides in length. Their secondary structure includes four short double-helical elements and three loops (D, anti-codon, and T loops). Further hydrogen bonds mediate the characteristic L-shaped molecular structure. tRNAs have two regions of fundamental functional importance: the anti-codon, which is responsible for specific mRNA codon recognition, and the 3' end, to which the tRNAs corresponding amino acid is attached (by aminoacyl-tRNA synthetases). tRNAs cope with the degeneracy of the genetic code in two manners: having more than one tRNA (with a specific anti-codon) for a particular amino acid; and 'wobble' base-pairing, i.e. permitting non-standard base-pairing at the 3rd anti-codon position. RNAcentral also lists the same sequence under 1 other name. Lineage: Eukaryota; Metazoa; Chordata; Mammalia; Artiodactyla; Bovidae. The record is from Rfam by way of RNAcentral.